RNAcentral lists this ribosomal RNA (406 nucleotides) under uncultured bacterium. RNAcentral's name for it is "partial 16S ribosomal RNA". It matches the Rfam family "Bacterial small subunit ribosomal RNA", at positions 30 to 526 of the family's 1533-position model. The record is from RNAcentral.
AUUGAACGCUGGCGGCAGGCCUACCACAUGCAAGUCGAACGAGUGGCGGACGGGUGAGUAAUGUCUGGGGAUCUGCCCGAUGGUGGGGGAAAACUACUGGAAACGGUAUCUAAUACCGCAUACUAUCAGAUGUGCCCAUAUGGGUUUAGCUUUUUGGUGGGGUAAAGGCUCACCAAGGCGACGAUCCCUAGCUGGUCUGAGAGGAUGACCAGCCACACUGGAACUGAGACACGGUCCAGACUCCUACGGGAGGCAGCAGUGGGGAAUAUUGCACAAUGGGCGCAAGCCUGAUGCAGCCAUGCCGCGUGUAUGAAGAAGGCCUUAGGGUUGUAAAGUACUUUCAGCGGGGAGGCGUUACCCGCAGAAGAAGCACCGGCUAACUCCGUGCCAGCAGCCGCGGUAAUAC